GUGGAUUAGAUACCCUGGUAGUCCUGACAGUAAACGGUGCACGUUUGGUGUGGGAGGAUUCGACCCCUUCUGCGCCGGAGCUAACGCGUUAAACGUGCCGCCUGGGGAGUACGGUCGCAAGAUUAAAACUCAAAGAAAUUGACGGGGGCCCGCACAAGCGGUGGAGUAUGUGGCUCAAUUCGAUGCAACGCGAAGAACCUUACCAGGCCUUGACAUGCAUUGCUAAGUUGGUGAAAGCCAGCGACUGGAGCAAUCCAGACCUUGCACAGGUGCUGCACGGCCGUCGCCAACU
RNAcentral lists this ribosomal RNA (292 nucleotides) under uncultured bacterium. Its description in RNAcentral is "partial 16S ribosomal RNA". It matches the Rfam family "Bacterial small subunit ribosomal RNA", at positions 773 to 1060 of the family's 1533-position model. The record is from RNAcentral.